ACAGCAGUCGCCGCGGGAAUACGGAGGGUGCAAGCGUUAAUCGGAAUUACUGGGCGUAAAGCGCACGCAGGCGGUCUGACAAGUCAGAUGUGAAAUCCCCGGGCUUAACCUGGGAACUGCAUUUGAAACUGUCAGGCUGGAGUCUUGUAGAGGGGGGUAGAAUUCCAGGUGUAGCGGUGAAAUGCGUAGAGAUCUGGAGGAAUACCGGUGGCGAAGGCGGCCCCCUGGACAAAGACUGACGCUCAGGUGCGAAAGCGUGGGGAGCAAACAGGAUUAGAUACCCCGGUAGUCCCUGUCUCUUAUAC
This 305-nucleotide ribosomal RNA is filed under the name uncultured bacterium. Its description in RNAcentral is "partial 16S ribosomal RNA". It matches the Rfam family "Bacterial small subunit ribosomal RNA", at positions 508 to 807 of the family's 1533-position model. The record is from RNAcentral.